CCGAGUUUACAACUCCCAAACCCCUGUGAACAUACCUUUAUGUUGCCUCGGCGGAUCAGCCCGCGCCCCGUAAAACGGGACGGCCCGCCGCAGGAAACCCUAGACUCUGUUUUUAGUGGAACUUCUGAGUAUAAAAAACAAAUAAAUCA
This 149-nucleotide unclassified non-coding RNA is filed under the name soil metagenome. Its description in RNAcentral is "partial internal transcribed spacer 1". The record is from RNAcentral.